RNAcentral lists this ribosomal RNA (289 nucleotides) under uncultured Prevotella sp. RNAcentral describes it as "partial 16S ribosomal RNA". Lineage: Bacteria; Pseudomonadati; Bacteroidota; Bacteroidia; Bacteroidales; Prevotellaceae. The record is from RNAcentral.
CUACAGGGGUUUCUAAUCCUGUUCGAUACCCGCACUUUCGAGCUUCAGCGUCAGUUACGCUACAGCAAGCUGCCUUCGCAAUCGGAGUUCUUCGUCAUAUCUAAGCAUUUCACCGCUACACAACGAAUUCCGCCUGCUUUCCGCGCACUCAAGUCGGACAGUUCGCGCUGCAAUUCAGAUGUUGAGCAUCUACAUUUCACAACACGCUUAACCAACAGCCUACGCUCCCUUUAAACCCAAUAAAUCCGGAUAACGCCUGGACCUUCCGUAUUACCGCGGCUGCUGGCAC